UUUCCGGUUGAUCCUGCCGGACCCUACUGCUAUCGGGGUGGACUAAGACAUGCGAGUCGUGCGUCUCUAGGCUAUGGUAGAGACGCGGCGUACGGCUCAGUAACACGUGGCUAAUCUACCCUUGGGACGGGGACAACCCCGGGAAACUGGGGCUAAUACCCGAUGGGUGAGGAGGCCUGGAAUGGUUCUCCACCGAAAAGACGCUGAAACCAUGCUUUUCAACGUUGCCUAAGGAUGGGGCCGCGUCCGAUCAGGUUGUUGGUGGGGUAACGGCUCACCAAGCCUAUAACCGGUUCGGGCCGUGAGAGCGGGAGCCCGGAGAUGGGCACUGAGACAAGGGCCCAGGCCCUACGGGGCGCAGCAGUCGCGAAAACUCCGCAAUGCGCGAAAGCGUGACGGGGCUACCCCGAGUGUCGUCCGCUGAGGAUGACUUUUCCCCGGUGUAAGGAGCCGGGGGAAUAAGGAGAGGGCAAGUCUGGUGUCAGCCGCCGCGGUAAUACCAGCUCUCCGAGUGGUAGGGACAAUUAUUGGGCUUAAAGCGUCCGUAGCCGGCCCGGCAAGUCUCCCGUUAAAUCCAGCGACCUAAUCGUUGGGCUGCAGGAGAUACUGUUGGGCUAGGAGGCGGGAGAGGCCGACGGUAUUCUCGGGGUAGGGGUGAAAUCCUAUAAUCCCGGGAGGACCACCAGUGGCGAAGGCUGUCGGCUAGAACGCGCUCGACGGUGAGGGACGAAAGCUGGGGGAGCGAACCGGAUUAGAUACCCGGGUAGUCCCAGCUGUAAACGAUGCGGGCUAGGUGUUGGGGUGGCUACGAGCCACUUCGGUGCCGCAGGGAAGCCAUUAAGCCCGCCGCCUGGGGAGUACGGCCGCAAGGCUGAAACUUAAAGGAAUUGGCGGGGGAGCACCACAAGGCGUGAAGCUUGCGGUUUAAUUGGAGUCAACGCCGGA
This 945-nucleotide ribosomal RNA is filed under the name uncultured archaeon. RNAcentral describes it as "bacterial SSU rRNA". It matches the Rfam family "Archaeal small subunit ribosomal RNA", at positions 1 to 922 of the family's 1478-position model. The record is from RNAcentral.